GCCCGAUGAACCUGAAUAUCCGUUAUGGAAAAUUCAUCAUUAAAAUUGUAAUAUUUAAAUAAUAUUAUGAGGAUAGUGUGCAUUUUUUCCAUAUAAGGACAUUGUAAUCUAUUAGCAUAUCCCAAAUUUAUCAUAAAAUAUAACUUAUAGUUUAUUCAAAUUAAAGUGCUUGCAUUUUAACACAGAAUAAAUGUUAUUAAUUUGAUAAAGUGCUGAUAGAUUUAUAUGAUUACAGUGCGUUAAUUUUUCGGAAUUAUAUAAUGGCAUAAUUAUCAUUGAUUUUUAUGUUUAUUAUAUGCACUUGUAUGAUUAACAAUGCGAAAGAUUCAGGAUACUUCGGG
This 341-nucleotide ribosomal RNA is filed under the name Drosophila teissieri. Its description in RNAcentral is "eukaryotic LSU rRNA". Lineage: Eukaryota; Metazoa; Arthropoda; Insecta; Diptera; Drosophilidae. The record is from RNAcentral.